UACGUAGGUGGCAAGCGUUGUCCGGAUUUACUGGGCGUAAAGAGCGCGCAGGCGGUCGUUCAAGUCGCGUGUGAAAGCCCCGGGCUCAACCUGGGAAGUGCACUCGAAACUGCAGAACUUGAGUCCUGGAGAGGAAGGCGGAAUUCUCGGUGUAGAGGUGAAAUUCGUAGAUAUCGAGAGGAACACCGGUGGCGAAGGCGGCCUUCUGGACGGUGACUGACGCUGAGGCGCGAAAGCGUGGGGAGCAAACAGG
RNAcentral lists this ribosomal RNA (253 nucleotides) under uncultured bacterium. RNAcentral's name for it is "partial 16S ribosomal RNA". It matches the Rfam family "Bacterial small subunit ribosomal RNA", at positions 524 to 776 of the family's 1533-position model. The record is from RNAcentral.